UACGUAGGGUGCAAGCGUUGUCCGGAAUUAUUGGGCGUAAAGAGCUCGUAGGCGGCUUGUCGCGUCGGCUGUGAAAACCCGUGGCUCAACCAUGUGGUCUGCAGUCGAUACGGGCAGGCUAGAAUUCGGUAGGGGAGACUGGAAUUCCUGGUGGUAGCGGUGAAAUGCGCAGAUAUCAGGAGGAACACCGGUGGCGAAGGCGGCAUUCUGGACCGAUAUUGACGCUGAGGAGCGAAAGCCAGGGGAGCAACGGG
Molecule: ribosomal RNA, 254 nt
Filed under: uncultured bacterium
Lineage: Bacteria
Description: partial 16S ribosomal RNA
Rfam family: Bacterial small subunit ribosomal RNA
Source: RNAcentral